CUGCGGCAGCGACGCUUAUGCGUUGUUGGGUAGGGGAGCGUUCUGUAAGCCUGCGAAGGUGGCCUGUGAGGGUUGCUGGAGGUAUCAGAAGUGCGAAUGCUGACAUAAGUAACGAUAAAGCGGGUGAAAAGCCCGCUCGCCGGAAGACCAAGGGUUCCUGUCCAACGUUAAUCGGGGCAGGGUGAGUCGACCCCUAAGGCGAGGCCGAAAGGCGUAGUCGAUGGGAAACGGGUUAAUAUUCCCGUACUUGGUGUUACUGCGAAGGGGGGACGGAGAAGGCUAUGUUGGCCGGGCGACGGUUGUCCCGGUUUAAGCGUGUAGGUGUGUGUUCCAGGUAAAUCCGGUUCACUUUAACACUGAGGCGUGACGACGAGGCACUACGGUGCUGAAGCAACAAAUGCCCUGCUUCCAGGAAAAGCCUCUAAGCAUCAGGUAACAUCAAAUCGUACCCCAAACCGACACAGGUGGUCAGGUAGAGAAUACCAAGGCGCUUGAGAGAACUCGGGUGAAGGAACUAGGCAAAAUGGUGCCGUAACUUCGGGAGAAGGCACGCUGACACGUAGGUGAAGUGAUUUACUCAUGGAGCUGAAGUCAGUCGAAGAUACCAGCUGGCUGCAACUGUUUAUUAAAAACACAGCACUGUGCAAACACGAAAGUGGACGUAUACGGUGUGACGCCUGCCCGGUGCCGGAAGGUUAAUUGAUGGGGUCAGCGCAAGCGAAGCUCCUGAUCGAAGCCCCGGUAAACGGCGGCCGUAACUAUAACGGUCCUAAGGUAGCGAAAUUCCUUGUCGGGUAAGUUCCGACCUGCACGAAUGGCGUAAUGAUGGCCAGGCUGUCUCCACCCGAGACUCAGUGAAAUUGAACUCGCUGUGAAGAUGCAGUGUACCCGCGGCAAGACGGAAAGACCCCGUGAACCUUUACUAUAGCUUGACACUGAACAUUGAGCCUUGAUGUGUAGGAUAGGUGGGAGGCUUUGAAGUGUGGACGCCAGUCUGCAUGGAGCCGACCUUGAAAUACCACCCUUUAAUGUUUGAUGUUCUAACGUGGACCCGUUACCCGGGUUGCGGACAGUGUCUGGUGGGUAGUUUGACUGGGGCGGUCUCCUCCUAAAGAGUAACGGAGGAGCACGAAGGUUGGCUAAUCCUGGUCGGACAUCAGGAGGUUAGUGCAAUGGCAUAAGCCAGCUUGACUGCGAGCGUGACGGCGCGAGCAGGUGCGAAAGCAGGUCAUAGUGAUCCGGUGGUUCUGAAUGGAAGGGCCAUCGCUCAACGGAUAAAAGGUACUCCGGGGAUAACAGGCUGAUACCGCCCAAGAGUUCAUAUCGACGGCGGUGUUUGGCACCUCGAUGUCGGCUCAUCACAUCCUGGGGCUGAAGUAGGUCCCAAGGGUAUGGCUGUUCGCCAUUUAAAGUGGUACGCGAGCUGGGUUUAGAACGUCGUGAGACAGUUCGGUCCCUAUCUGCCGUGGGCGCUGGAGAACUGAGGGGGGCUGCUCCUAGUACGAGAGGACCGGAGUGGACGCAUCACUGGUGUUCGGGUUGUCAUGCCAAUGGCACUGCCCGGUAGCUAAAUGCGGAAGAGAUAAGUGCUGAAAGCAUCUAAGCACGAAACUUGCCCCGA
This 1621-nucleotide ribosomal RNA is filed under the name Salmonella enterica. RNAcentral's name for it is "partial 23S ribosomal RNA". It matches the Rfam family "Bacterial large subunit ribosomal RNA", at positions 1200 to 2802 of the family's 2925-position model. Lineage: Bacteria; Pseudomonadati; Pseudomonadota; Gammaproteobacteria; Enterobacterales; Enterobacteriaceae. The record is from RNAcentral.